CAGUCGAACGGAGAUUAUACGCAGAGGCGAUUUCGGUCAAAUCAUGUGUAAUCUUAGUGGCGGACGGGUGAGUAACGCGUGGGUAACCUGCCUUACACUGGGGGAUAACACUUAGAAAUAGGUGCUAAUACCGCAUAAGCGCACGAAGCCGCAUGGAUUUGUGUGAAAAACUCCGGUGGUGUAAGAUGGACCCGCGUCUGAUUAGCUUGUUGGCGGGGUAACGGCCCACCAAGGCGACGAUCAGUAGCCGGCCUGAGAGGGUGGACGGCCACAUUGGGACUGAGACACGGCCCAAACUCCUACGGGAGGCAGCAGUAGGGAAUCUUCCACAAUGGGCGAAAGCCUGAUGGAGCAACGCCGCGUGGGUGAAGAAGGUCUUCGGAUCGUAAAACCCUGUUGUUAGAGAAGAAAGUGCGUGAGAGUAACUGUUCACGUUUCGACGGUAUCUAACCAGAAAGCCACGGCUAACUACGUGCCAGCAGCCGCGGUAAUACGUAGGUGGCAAGCGUUAUCCGGAUUUAUUGGGCGUAAAGGGAACGCAGGCGGUCUUUUAAGUCUGAUGUGAAAGCCUUCGGCUUAACCGGAGUAGUGCAUUGGAAACUGGGAGACUUGAGUGCAGAAGAGGAGAGUGGAACUCCAUGUGUAGCGGUGAAAUGCGUAGAUAUAUGGAGGAACACCAGUGGCGAAGGCGGCUUCCUGGUCUGCAACUGACACUGAGGCGCGAAAGCGUGGGGAGCAAACAGGAUUAGAUACCCUGGUAGUCCACGCCGUAAACGAUGAGUGCUAAGUGUUGGGGGUCGAACCUCAGUGCUGAAGUUAACGCAUUAAGCACUCCGCCUGGGGAGUACGGUCGCAAGACUGAAACUC
RNAcentral lists this ribosomal RNA (867 nucleotides) under uncultured bacterium. Its description in RNAcentral is "bacterial SSU rRNA". It matches the Rfam family "Bacterial small subunit ribosomal RNA", at positions 59 to 902 of the family's 1533-position model. The record is from RNAcentral.